This is a non-coding RNA of Poronia punctata, 98 nucleotides long. The record is from the annotation of a GenBank genome assembly. NCBI's taxonomy places the organism in Eukaryota, Fungi, Ascomycota, Sordariomycetes, Xylariales, Xylariaceae.
GCGGGGAUAGCUCAGUUGGGAGAGCGUCAGACUGAAGCCAUUAAACUUCAUUCCUAAAGAUUAUCUGAAGGUCGUGUGUUCGAUCCACACUCACCGCA